CUGAAUGCUAGUUGGUCAAUAAUUGUGUGGUUGUGGUCAGUGCUGAAUGCUACUGGGGUCAGUUUGUUAUAUCUGGAGUACUUCUCCUGUCCUAUUCGGUGUCCUGUGUGAAUUUAAGUGUUCUCUCUCUAAUUCUCUCUUUCGGACGACCUGAGCCCUAGGACCAUGCCUCAGGACUACCUGACAUGGUGACUCCUUGCUGUCCCCAGUCCACCUGGCCGUGCUGCUGCUCCAGUUUCAACUGUUCUGCCUUAUUAUUAUUCGACCAUGCUGGUCAUUUAUGAACAUUUGAACAUCUUGGCCAUGUUCUGUUAUAAUCUCCACCCGGCACAGCCAGAAGAGGACUGGCCACCCCUCAUAACCUGGUUCCUCUAGGUUUAUAAUCUCCACCCGGCACAGCCAGAAGAGGACUGGCCACCCCACAUAGCCUGGUUCCUCUCUAAGUUUCUUCCUAGGUUUUGGCCUUUCUAGGGAGUUUUUCCUAGCCACCGUGCUUCUACACCUGCAUUGCUUGCUAUUUGGGGUUUUAGGCUGGGUUUCUGUACAGCACUUUGAGAUAUCAGCUGAUGUACGAAGGGCUAUAUAAAUACAUUUUAUUUUAUUUUAUUUUAUUUGAGUGUUGAAUGCUAGUUGGUCAGUAAUGUUGUGGUCAGUGCUGAAUGCUAGUUGGUCAGUAAUUGUGUGGUUGAGGUCAGUGCUGAAUGCUAGUUGGUCAGUAAUUGUGUGGUUGAGGUCAGUGCUGACUGCUAAGGCCUUUAUUUUACAUGUCUAAAGAAACUCCAAUGCGUUAUAAUAUUAUAACAUGGGUUGAAUAGGAACACUUCUCAUGAAGAGCGAUCAGCACCUCUGUGGCAUCUUACUGUAUGUUUGGAAUCUCAUCUUCAUAAUGUGUAAACAUUUCAAACAACUUUCCUAAUACAACUUUAGGUAUUUCUUUGCGUAAAUAAUCAAUCAAAUUUAAGACUGGAUAAAUUGUGUUCAAUACCAGAGGAAAACAAAGCAAGCGCGUUCCAGGUUGCUCACAUCAAAACAUUAGAGAGCCCUAGGCAGGACCCUGGUUCUGGACAGCCAUACUUCUUCAUUUCUCUAAAGAAAAACAUCAACCAAUUUCUAAAGACUGUUGACAUCUAGUGAAAGCUAUAGGAACUGCAAGCAUAUUUCUAUUAAAACGGGCUUACCAUAAAAACGAAUGGAAAACAGGUUGACCUUAAAAAAAAAAAUCCCUUGAUGGAUUGUGCUCGGGGUUUCGCCUGCCAAAUCAGUUCUGUUAUACUCACAGACAUUAAUUCAAACAGUUUUAGAAACUUCAGUGUUUUCUAUCCAAAUCUACUAAUUAUAUGCAUAUCCUAGCUUCUGGGCCUGAGUAGCAGGCAGUUUACUUUGGGCACGCUUUUCAUCUGGACGUGAAAAUAGCGCCCCCAAGCCUAGAGAAGUUAAAAAGGAUGGUGAUUUGUUUCGGAGGACGCAU
Molecule: long non-coding RNA, 1468 nt
Filed under: Oncorhynchus kisutch (coho salmon)
Lineage: Eukaryota; Metazoa; Chordata; Actinopteri; Salmoniformes; Salmonidae
Description: lncRNA (ENSOKIG00005030412.1)
Source: RNAcentral